Molecule: long non-coding RNA, 246 nt
Filed under: Elaeis guineensis (African oil palm)
Lineage: Eukaryota; Viridiplantae; Streptophyta; Magnoliopsida; Arecales; Arecaceae
Description: long non-coding RNA (EGUI_LNC049756)
Source: RNAcentral
ACCCCAUCUACCAGCUCAACCCACUGAUUAGAGGAUGACACAUGUCCUAUAAAAUCAAUGACCGAUCAAAUCUCCAAACAAGGAACAUGAUAUAGCACAAUGGUUACAGCUUGGCAUGAUCUCAAUGCACCAAAAAAUGGAAGCCAAAACUAUCUAGAUUGAUAGAUAAGGAAAGAGCUCAAUUGCUCGUCUGAAAAUUGCAUGAUCCGAGUCGCACAGAUCAGUGCCCUGCUCUCUUUGUAAAUC